UCAUUAAAGAGUUCUAUAACUCCCAAACCCAUGUGAACAUACCUAACGUUGCCUCGGCAGGUCGCACCUACCUUGUAGCACCCUACCCUGUAGGGCCUACCCGGGAGGUGCGGGUAAGCCUGCCGGCGGCCCACCAAACUCUGUUUGAUAUUGAAUUCUGAACCUAUAACUAAAUAAGUUAAAACUUUCAACAACGGAUCUCUUGGUUCUGGCAUCGAUGAAGAACGCAGCGAAAUGCGAUAAGUAAUGUGAAUUGCAGAAUUCAGUGAAUCAUCGAAUCUUUGAACGCAUAUUGCGCCCAUUAGUAUUCUAGUGGGCAGGACCGUUCGAGCGUCAUUUCAACCCUUAAGCCUUCGUUGCUUAGUGUUGGGAGCCUACGGCAACGUAGCUCCUCAAAGUUAGUGGCGGAGUUGGUUCACACUCUAGACGUAGUAAUUUUUUAUCUCGCCUAUUAGUUGGACUAAUCCCCUGCCGUAAAACCCCCAAUUUAUCAAGGUUGACCUCGAAUCGGUUCAGACAAACUCGCUAAAUUGAAGCAUCUUAGUCAGCGAAGGAAAAGAAACCAACAGGGAUUGCCCUAGUAACGGCGAGUGAAGCGGCAACAGCUCAAAUUUGAAAUCUGGCCCUCGGGUCCGAGUUGUAAUUUGUAGAGGAUGCUUUUGGCGCGGUGCCUUCCGAGUUCCCUGGAACGGGACGCCUUAGAGGGUGAGAGCCCCGUACGGUUGGACACCAAGCCUCUGUAAAGCUCCUUCGACGAGUCGAGUAGCUUGGGAAUGCUGCUCUAAAUGGGAGGUAAAUUUCUUCUAAAGCUAAAUAUUGGCCAGAG
RNAcentral lists this ribosomal RNA (826 nucleotides) under fungal endophyte. RNAcentral's name for it is "eukaryotic LSU rRNA". The stretch from base 498 to 826 matches the Rfam family "Eukaryotic large subunit ribosomal RNA", at positions 1 to 332 of the family's 3401-position model. Lineage: Eukaryota; Fungi. The record is from RNAcentral.